Molecule: ribosomal RNA, 2546 nt
Filed under: Salmonella enterica subsp. enterica serovar Tennessee
Lineage: Bacteria; Pseudomonadati; Pseudomonadota; Gammaproteobacteria; Enterobacterales; Enterobacteriaceae
Description: bacterial LSU rRNA
Rfam family: Bacterial large subunit ribosomal RNA
Source: RNAcentral
GGGUUGUGAGGUUAAGCGACUAAGCGUACACGGUGGAUGCCCUGGCAGUCAGAGGCGAUGAAGGACGUGCUAAUCUGCGAUAAGCGCCGGUAAGGUGAUAUGAACCGUUAUAACCGGCGAUUUCCGAAUGGGGAAACCCAGUGUGACUCGUCACACUAUCAUUAACUGAAUCCAUAGGUUAAUGAGGCGAACCGGGGGAACUGAAACAUCUAAGUACCCCGAGGAAAAGAAAUCAACCGAGAUUCCCCCAGUAGCGGCGAGCGAACGGGGAGGAGCCCAGAGCCUGAAUCAGCAUGUGUGUUAGUGGAAGCGUCUGGAAAGGCGCGCGAUACAGGGUGACAGCCCCGUACACAAAAGCGCAUGUGCUGUGAGCUCGAUGAGUAGGGCGGGACACGUGGUAUCCUGUCUGAAUAUGGGGGGACCAUCCUCCAAGGCUAAAUACUCCUGACUGACCGAUAGUGAACCAGUACCGUGAGGGAAAGGCGAAAAGAACCCCGGCGAGGGGAGUGAAAAAGAACCUGAAACCGUGUACGUACAAGCAGUGGGAGCNNGGGCGUUAAGUUGCAGGGUAUAGACCCGAAACCCGGUGAUCUAGCCAUGGGCAGGUUGAAGGUUGGGUAACACUAACUGGAGGACCGAACCGACUAAUGUUGAAAAAUUAGCGGAUGACCUGUGGCUGGGGGUGAAAGGCCAAUCAAACCGGGAGAUAGCUGGUUCUCCCCGAAAGCUAUUUAGGUAGCGCCUCGUGAAUUCAUCUCCGGGGGUAGAGCACUGUUUCGGCUAGGGGGCCAUCCCGGCUUACCAACCCGAUGCAAACUGCGAAUACCGGAGAAUGUUAUCACGGGAGACACACGGCGGGUGCUAACGUCCGUCGUGAAGAGGGAAACAACCCAGACCGCCAGCUAAGGUCCCAAAGUCAUGGUUAAGUGGGAAACGAUGUGGGAAGGCCCAGACAGCCAGGAUGUUGGCUUAGAAGCAGCCAUCAUUUAAAGAAAGCGUAAUAGCUCACUGGUCGAGUCGGCCUGCGCGGAAGAUGUAACGGGGCUAAACCAUGCACCGAAGCUGCGGCAGCGANNUGCUGGAGGUAUCAGAAGUGCGAAUGCUGACAUAAGUAACGAUAAAGCGGGUGAAAAGCCCGCUCGCCGGAAGACCAAGGGUUCCUGUCCAACGUUAAUCGGGGCAGGGUGAGUCGACCCCUAAGGCGAGGCCGAAAGGCGUAGUCGAUGGGAAACGGGUUAAUAUUCCCGUACUUGGUGUUACUGCGAAGGGGGGACGGAGAAGGCUAUGUUGGCCGGGCGACGGUUGUCCCGGUUUAAGCGUGUAGGUGUGUGUUCCAGGUAAAUCCGGUUCACUUUAACACUGAGGCGUGACGACGAGGCACUACGGUGCUGAAGCAACAAAUGCCCUGCUUCCAGGAAAAGCCUCUAAGCAUCAGGUAACAUCAAAUCGUACCCCAAACCGACACAGGUGGUCAGGUAGAGAAUACCAAGGCGCUUGAGAGAACUCGGGUGAAGGAACUAGGCAAAAUGGUGCCGUAACUUCGGGAGAAGGCACGCUGACAUGUAGGUGAAGUGAUUUACUCAUGGAGCUGAAGUCAGUCGAAGAUACCAGCUGGCUGCAACUGUUUAUUAAAAACACAGCACUGUGCAAACACGAAAGUGGACGUAUACGGUGUGACGCCUGCCCGGUGCCGGAAGGUUAAUUGAUGGGGUCAGCGCAAGCGAAGCUCCUGAUCGAAGCCCCGGUAAACGGCGGCCGUAACUAUAACGGUCCUAAGGUAGCGAAAUUCCUUGUCGGGUAAGUUCCGACCUGCACGAAUGGCGUAAUGAUGGCCAGGCUGUCUCCACCCGAGACUCAGUGAAAUUGAACUCGCUGUGAAGAUGCAGUGUACCCGCGGCAAGACGGAAAGACCCCGUGAACCUUUACUAUAGCUUGACACUGAACAUUGAGCCUUGAUGUGUAGGAUAGGUGGGAGGCUUUGAAGUGUGGACGCCAGUCUGCAUGGAGCCGACCUUGAAAUACCACCCUUUAAUGUUUGAUGUUCUAACGUGGACCCGUUAUCCGGGUUGCGGACAGUGUCUGGUGGGUAGUUUGACUGGGGCGGUCUCCUCCUAAAGAGUAACGGAGGAGCACGAAGGUUGGCUAAUCCUGGUCGGACAUCAGGAGGUUAGUGCAAUGGCAUAAGCCAGCUUGACUGCGAGCGUGACGGCGCGAGCAGGUGCGAAAGCAGGUCAUAGUGAUCCGGUGGUUCUGAAUGGAAGGGCCAUCGCUCAACGGAUAAAAGGUACUCCGGGGAUAACAGGCUGAUACCGCCCAAGAGUUCAUAUCGACGGCGGUGUUUGGCACCUCGAUGUCGGCUCAUCACAUCCUGGGGCUGAAGUAGGUCCCAAGGGUAUGGCUGUUCGCCAUUUAAAGUGGUACGCGAGCUGGGUUUAGAACGUCGUGAGACAGUUCGGUCCCUAUCUGCCGUGGGCGCUGGAGAACUGAGGGGGGCUGCUCCUAGUACGAGAGGACCGGAGUGGACGCAUCACUGGUGUUCGGGUUGU